UAAUACGGAGGGUGCAAGCGUUAUCCGGAUUCACUGGGUUUAAAGGGAGCGUAGGUGGGCAGGUAAGUCAGUGGUGAAAUCUCUGGGCUUAACCCGGAAACUGCCAUUGAUACUAUCUGUCUUGAAUUAUCUGGAGGUAAGCGGAAUAUGUCAUGUAGCGGUGAAAUGCUUAGAUAUGACAUAGAACACCCAUUGCGAAGGCAGCUUACUACGGAUAUAUUGACACUGAGGCUCGAAAGCGUGGGGAUCAAACAGG
This 256-nucleotide ribosomal RNA is filed under the name uncultured bacterium. RNAcentral describes it as "partial 16S ribosomal RNA". It matches the Rfam family "Bacterial small subunit ribosomal RNA", at positions 521 to 776 of the family's 1533-position model. The record is from RNAcentral.